Zea mays is the source of this 7425-nucleotide RNA transcript. It is a transcript of the gene named probable glucomannan 4-beta-mannosyltransferase 3, with no coding region annotated. NCBI's taxonomy places the organism in Eukaryota, Viridiplantae, Streptophyta, Magnoliopsida, Poales, Poaceae. The record is from RefSeq and is a predicted model, not a curated record. The transcript has 9 exons.
UCAACACUGAACUGUGGGGUCUGGUGCGCGUUGGCUAACAUGUCGGAAAUCAAAGCUGUGGUUAAGCCGGCGAAUCAGAGCGAUCAUCUCGUGAGCUUCUUGUACUGCACCACCACUAGCCUCAUCACUCAUCUCAUCAGUCAUCACUCACCUCCCGCACCGAGCCACCGACGCGACCCAGGAAAAGCAACGACAACGUCUCCAAAAGCUGCAGGCUGCAGCUCCUGAGGGCCGCAGGCCGCACCGGAGAGGCCGAGAGGGCAGGCGGACGCGGACGCGCGUGCGGGAAGGCGUGAGCAAUGGCCGGUACGGCGGCAAUAGCCUCCUUAGCCGCGGUGGCGGGAGCAUGGCUCGACCUUGACGGGUCGACGACCCUGCUUCCGCGCCGGUUGCUUCCGUCGUCAGGCGGCGAGGCGCUGCGGGCCGCGUGGGACGCGGCGCGCGCGGCGGCAGUGGCGCCGGCGCUGGCCGCCGCGUCGUGGGUCUGCCUGGCCCUGUCGGCCAUGCUCCUCGCCGACGCCGUGUUCCUGGCCGCCGCCAGCCUUCUGCCCCGGCGGGCGCCGUGCCCCAUUGCCGGCCCCACCGCCGAGGUGGACGGGGACGAGGAGGAGGCCGGCUGCAGCGUCGGCUACCCCAUGGUGCUCGUCCAAAUCCCCAUGUACAACGAACGGGAGGUGUACAAGCUAUCCAUUGAAGCAGCAUGCGGGAUGUGGUGGCCGUCGGAUAGGGUGAUCGUACAGGUUCUCGACGAUUCCACGGAUCCGACGGUUAAGGAUUUGGUGGAGCUUGAAUGCAAGUUUUGGGCUAACAAUGGAAAGAACGUAAAAUAUGAGGUGAGGAACAAUCGGACAGGCUACAAGGCGGGUGCGCUGAAACAAGGGAUGCUCUACGAGUAUGUUCAACAGUGUGAUUUUGUCGCUGUGUUUGAUGCUGAUUUCCAACCAGAACCUGACUUCCUCGUGAGGACCGUCCCAUAUCUUGUUCAUAAUCCACGAAUUGCUCUUGUUCAAGCACGGUGGGAAUUUGUUAAUCCCAAAGAAUUCCUGAUGACAAGGAUACAAAAGAUGACAUUAGAUUAUCACUUCAAAGUAGAGCAGGAAGCAGGUUCAUCCACCUUUGGCUUCUUUGGUUUUAACGGAACUGCUGGUGUCUGGAGAACUUCUUCUAUCAAGGAAGCUGGGGGCUGGGAGGAUCGAACCACUGUGGAAGACAUGGAUUUAGCAGUCAGAGCAGGUCUGAAAGGAUGGAAAUUCAUCUAUGUUGGGGAUGUUAAGGUAAAAAGUGAACUGCCAAGCAAUCUGAAGGCAUAUCGCCGCCAACAACAUCGGUGGACAUGUGGGGCAGCAAAUUUAUUCCGGAAGAUGGGAGCGGAAAUUAUUCUGACUAAGGAGGUGUCGCUGUGGAGGAAGCUGUAUCUGAUCUACAGCUUCUUUUUCAUUAGGAAGGUUGUCGCCCAUGUGGUACCUUUCAUGCUCUACUGCGUAAUAAUUCCUUUGUCUGUGCUGAUUCCUGAGGUCACUGUCCCUGUAUGGGGGGUGGUUUACAUCCCAACAACAAUAACACUUCUUUACGCCAUCAGAAAUCCAAGUUCUAUCCACUUCAUACCAUUCUGGAUCCUUUUUGAGAACGUGAUGUCUUUUCACCGAACGAAGGCGACAUUCAUCGGCUUGCUCGAGCUCGGGAAUGUAAACGAGUGGGUUGUCACGGAGAAGCUUGGUAGAACCAAGCCUGUGCCACAAAUGCUUGAAAAGCCUCGCUGCAGGUUUUGGGACAGGUGGCCUGCUGGGCGUUUUGUUUCCCCAUUGUUCCUAAGAAACUUUCAUCAAGUUUUAGCUGCUGGAGCUGACUCUAAUGCGUGCACCUGUUUGCAUGCUCCUUGCAGGUGCACCAUAUCAGAGAUUUUAGUUGCCAUCUUCCUCUUCUUCUGUGCCACAUACAACUUGGUUUUAGGAGACGACUUCUAUUUCGUUUACAUAUAUUUACAGGAAAUAGCAUUUCUUAUUGUUGGCACCGGUUUCUGCGGUACAUAACAGCUAGGAGUAGGACUGGUCCGACAGAAAAAAUUGCUCAAGUUAGGUCAUGAACUUCGAUCACCUCCUAGGUUGCUUCUACAGCUGAGAGGUUCUCAAUGCGGGGUCACGUAGCUCACCAUUCACAGUAAAGGAUGCGUAGCGAGCUGUUUAUUAGGAGCUAGCUUGGUCGUCAUUUUCAUGUUUAAGUUAUUGUAAUCUUUGUGCUGUUGAGUAUGAGAUCUGGCACCUGGACGGUCCGCACCCCCAAACGGUCUGCGAGCAGGUUAAUUCGAGCUAAAGUCUUGAUCUCUUGCAGGGUUAUCCUAAUAUCUCAUGAGAUUUUGUUGGAUUCCAUUUAUGAACGGGUUAAAACCUCCCUCUCUAUAUAAAGAGGGUCCCUUCCGAAAGGUGAGAUCUAGGUUCUACACGAAGCCCUCUACACGCAUAACGGACAGUCCACCGCGCGCCUACACGUAACACGUGGACGGUCCGUGCUGCUGCAGAGAGGACUCCAAGUAGGGGCGGACCCAAGAGGGCUCUAGGUGGACCAUGGCACACCCUAAGCCAGGCCCACCAAAACCACACCUCGGCCACAUUUGCUUGAGAAUCCAUACUCACCCACAACGUCGACACGACGCCAAACUCCCAUGGAGGCACCAUGACCAAACGAGCUCCCGCCCACGAGUGUGCCUCAGUGAAAGGGAAAUGUGCCCUUGGGCCAUUUCUAUAAAUGUUUUGGUGAUUAGAUGCCCAACACAUAUUGUUUUAGUUCAUAUGUGCUAAGUGGUUGAGAAGUGCAAAUCAAGAAUCAAGGUAUGUUUCUAGCCCUAGUAAAUUGUUUUUGAUACUAACAUAUCUCUCUAAGUGCUAGGGACACUGCCAAGAAAAGUGGAAAUGAAUUGGAGAAGUUUUGGCUGAGUUCGGCCAAACCAGCACCAGCCUGUGGUGCACCGGACAGUGUCCGGUGCCCAGACUGGCCCAGGAACGAACUCGUCGCUCUCGGGAAAAAGCGAAGGCGCCACGGCUAAAAAUCACCGGACUGUCCGGUGUGCACCGGACUGUCCGGUGAGUCAACGGCGCCCGCGGCCAACGGUCGGCAGCGCAAUCAGCGGGCGACGCGUGGCCCGCGCCAACGGUCAGAUGGUCACACCGGACUGUCCGGUGUGCACCGGACGGUGUCCGGUGCGCCAACGGAACCGAAGGUCCAACAGUCGGGUGCGCCCGAUAAGGAAGGAGAUCGGGCACCAGACAACUACUGUUCAUGUCCGGUGGUCCGGUGCACCACCCGACAGAAGGCAAGAAUUGCCUUCCAAUUGGAUCUCCAACGGCUUCUAGCUGCCUUGGGGCUAUAAAAGGGACCCCUAGGCGCAUGGAGCAGUACACCAAGCAUUCUCUAAACAUUCUAAGACGCCUAGACUUCGCCACCACGCACUCGGAUCAUCGUGUUAGAGAUUUGAGCACUGUUUGAGUUGUAAACUCCCUGCGCCGUGUUUUGUGCUCACGCCUUGGCUUGUGUGCGUGUGUUUGCUGCGAUUCUAGCUUUGUGUGUGUUGCUUUCCCUCCCUUACUCUUGUGCUUUUCUUGUGAUCAAACAUUGUAAGGGUGAGAGGCUCUAACUUGUGGAGAUUCCUCGCAAACGGGAAAAGACUGCUAAGGAAGAAAACUGUGGUAUUCAAAGUUGAUCAUUGGAUCACUUGAGAGGGAUUGAGUGCAAUCCUUGACAGAAGGAGGUCACCACAACGUGGAGUAGGCAUUGGCUGAACCACAGGAUAAAAAUCAUUGUGUCUCGUGUCCCUAUUCAUUGUGAUUGAUUUUCUUGUAGAGUUCUAACUUUAGCAACUUGAUUUUAAUUGCACUAACACUAAUAAACCAAGUUUGGGCUAUUUAGUAUUGAAUUUUAUAGGAUCACCUAUUCACCCCCCUUUAGGUGCUCUCAAUUGGUAUCAGAGCCGUACUCUUCAUCUAAGGGACUAACCGCCCGAAGAGAUGGAUCCUAAGGGCAAGGGGAUGGUGAUCAACGACAAGGAGGAGUCCCUCUUCAACGAGCCAAGAGACGACAAGCCCACUGACUCAUGCUCGAGUCACAAGGAAAGAGACGGGAAGAAGAAGAGGCGCAUCAAAAAGAUUAUCUACUACGACAGCGAUGCCUCAUCUUCUUCACCAUGGGAUAACUACUCCCCGUCCAAAAAUAAAACGGUUAAUCAAAACUACUCCUUUGAUUAUUCCCGCAUUCCUUACAAUUCAAAUGCUCAUUUACUCUCUAUUCCACUUGGAAAACCCCCACACUUCGAUGGAGAGGAUUACUCAUUUUGGAGCCAUAAAAUGUGUAGUCACAUAUUUUCCCUCCAUCCUAGCAUUUGGGAAAUUGUAGAAAAUGGGAUGCAUUUUGAUAGUACUGAGAACCCUAUGUUUAUCAAUGAACAAAUUCAUAAAAAUGCCCAAGCCACCACUGUUUUGCUAGCAUCUCUAUGCAUGGAUGAAUAUAACAAGGUCAGAGGCUUGGACAACACCAAACAGAUAUGGGACAUCCUCAAAAUUUCUCACAAGGGAAAUGAUGCCACCAUGAUCACUAAAAUGGAACUGGUGGAAUGUGAGCUGGGGAGAUUCGCGAUGAUAAGGGGAGAAGAGCCAACACAGACAUACAACAGGCUCAAAGCCCUUGUCAACAAAAUUCGAAGCUACGGGAGCACAAGAUGGACAGAUCAUGAUGUUGUCCGACUCAUGCUCAGGUCAUUUAUAGUUAUCACUACAGGAAACACAUAAAUUUUCAUGGACCGAAUUAUUUUCGUUGGCCGGCCCACGAAAAUACGGAUGUUAUUUUCGUCGGCCUCGUGACCGACGAAAAUGUGUCGUAUUUUCGUGGGCCGGGGAAUAUUUUCGUGGGCAGGCCCACGAGAAUAGGGAAGUUAUUUUCGUCGGCCUCUGGACCAACGACAAUGUGGCGUAGUUUCGUCGGCCUCAACCCGGCCGACGAAAAUAAGUCAUUGACCGACCACUAUUUUCGUCGGCCUCACUGAGGCCGACGAAAAUAGUGUCCCUAAAUCGUCCAUCCCGGCCUCAGCCCGCACCUUCUCGCUCGCGCCCCGCCUGCCCUAAAUCGUCCCAAUCCCGCCGCGCCGCCGCCGCACUCGCGCCCCGCCGUUCUCUCAUGCAAGCUCGGCGAGCUCCGUCGCGCGCGCCCGCCGUUCUCUCGCGCCCCGUGGCCGCCGUUCUCUCACGCAAGCUCGGUGAGCUCCGUCGCGCGUGCCCGCCGUUCUCUCACGCAAGCUCGGCGAGCUCCGACGCGCGCGCCCGCCGUCCGUCCACGCCACCCUCGUUCCCCGCAGUGAGCCUCCCCGUCUCCCUUCUUCCACGCCUGUAAAUCUUAUUCGUGAGAACCCUAGGUACACAAAGAUGACGCCCGAAGAAAUCAUCGGAAAAUUCGUGAGCGGGCGCAUGAUGGUGAAAGAAGCACGAUAUGUGGAUGAUGCCUUGAAUGGUCCACUUCCCGUCUACGAGUCGCAGCCCGUUGCCCUCAAAGCAACUAGCAGCAAGAAGGCGCUACCUAGCAAGGUAGCACAAGUGGAGGCUGCUGGACUCAAUGAGGAUGAGAUGGCACUCAUCAUCAAACGAUUCAAGACCGUCUUGAAGGGAUGCAAGGAGUACCCCAACAAGAACAAGUCAAAGGAAAAAUGCUCCUGCUUCAAAUGCGGUAAGACUGGUCACUUUAUUGCAUAAUGCCCCGAUAACGAUAAUGACCAGGCACAAGAGAAGCAUGUGAAGAGGGAAAAGAAAAAACUACAGGAAGGCCAAAGGCGAGGCGCACAUCGGGAAGGAAUGAGACUCCGACUGUUCCUCAUCUGACUCUGAAGAUGAAGGACUAGAUGCCUCGGCCUUCAACAAAUCUCCGCUCUUCCCCAACGAACGCCAUACGUGCCUUAUGGCUAAGGAGAAGAAGGUAUGUAUUCGAGACACUCCCAAAUAUACUUCUUCUAGUGAUGAAGAAUCGUCUAAUGAUGAAGUAGAUUAUACUAAUUUGUUUAAGGGAUUAGAUAGAACUAAGGUAGACAAAAUAAAUGAAUUAAUUGAUGCUCUUAAUGAAAAGGAUAGAUUGCUAGAAAAGCAAGAAGAUAUUUUGUAUGAAGAACAUGAUAAAUUCAUUAGUGCUCAAAAAUCUCUUGCUCUAGAAGUCAAGAAAAAUGUAAUAAUAUCCUUUGAAUUGUCUACCUGUCAUGAAUCUAUCUCUAGUCUAAAGAAUUUAAAUGAUGAUUUGAAUGUUAAGCUAGAGAAAGUUAAUAUAACUAGUUCAUGUGUAGAGCAUGUUGCUAUUUGCAAUAGAUGUAAAGACUUUGAUGUUGAUGCUUGUAAUGAACAUGUUUCUACUAUUGCUAAGUUAAAUAAUGAUGUUGCAAGCCUUAAUGCUCAACUUAAGACUUGCAAAGAAAGUUAUGAAAAACUAAAAUUUGCUAGGGAUGCCUACACCAUUGGUAGACACCCCUCAAUUAAGUAUGGACUUGGUUUCCGAACGGAAACCAAGAACUUAACAAGCCAAAGGACCUCCAGUCUCAACAAGGAGAAAGGAAAGGCUCCUUGGCUAGUAGUUUUCAAAAGAACCAUGCCUAUCUUUAUGAUAAGAAAUUUACUAGUCAUGCUCAUAAUGAUAGGUGCUAUGAUAAUAUUGGUUCUCAUAUUGAUGCAUUUAAUCUUCAUGCUAUGGUUGCAUCUAACUCUACAUAUGCUUAUGAUAGAAAAAGGCCUAGGCGUAAUCAUGUUGUGUCUCAUGUGUCUAGGAAAGCAUGCACUGGUCCUACUACUGUUUACAAUACAUGUAAUGCUUCUUUUGUACUCUCAUGCAAAAAUGCAAAAGUAGUUGCUAGAAAAUUGGGAUCUAAAUGCAAGGGAGACAAGACUUGUAUUUAGGUUCCAAAAGUUGUUGUAACUAACCUUGUAGGACCCAACAAGAGUUGGGUACCUAAAACCCAAGCUUAAAUACCUUGCAGGUUUAUGCAUCCGGGGGCUCAAGCUGGAUUAUUGACAGCGGAUGCACAUGCACUAACCACAUGACGGGGAAAAAGAAAAUGUUCACCUCCUACGUCAAGAACAGGGAUUCCCAAUACACCAUCAUUUUUGGAGAUGGGAAUCAAGGCAAGGUUAAAGGAUUGGGCAAGAUAGCCAUCACGACCGAGCACUCAGUAUCAAAUGUGUUUUUAGUAUAGUCACUCGGGUAUAAUUUAUUGUCUGUAAGUCAAUUGUGUCAUAUGGGCUACAAUUGUUUAUUUACAAAUAUUGAUGUAUAUGUCUUUAGAAGGAGUGAUGGUUCAUUAGCUUUUAAGGGUGUAUUAGACGACAAGCUCUAUUUAGUUGAUUUCUUAAAGGAGAAUGCCUAUCUAGAUGUAUGCUUAAUCGCUAAAACUAAUAUGGGCUGGCUUUGGUA